This 477-nucleotide ribosomal RNA is filed under the name Clostridioides difficile. Its description in RNAcentral is "bacterial LSU rRNA". It matches the Rfam family "Bacterial large subunit ribosomal RNA", at positions 1527 to 2016 of the family's 2925-position model. Lineage: Bacteria; Bacillati; Bacillota; Clostridia; Peptostreptococcales; Peptostreptococcaceae. The record is from RNAcentral.
GCAACGUAGGCAAAUCCGCUUUGAUACUGCUGGGAUGUGAUGGGGAGCGACACUUAGUAGCGAGGUAGCUUAUUUCACACGCUCAAGACAAGACUACAUCGCGGUUAAAGAUACCCGUACCGCAAACCGACACAGGUGGGAGAGGAGAGUAUCCUAAGGCCAGCGGGAGAACUGUUGUUAAGGAACUCGGCAAAAUGACCCCGUAACUUAGGGAUAAGGGGUGCCACCAUCAGGUGGCCGCAGAGAAUAGGCCCAAGCGACUGUUUACCAAGAACAUAGGUUUCUGCUAAGUCGCAAGACGAUGUAUAGGAGCUGACGCCUGCCCGGUGCUGGAAGGUUAAGGGGAUCUGGUAGAGCAAUCGACGCAGUCAACUUAAGCCCCAGUAAACGGCGGAGGUAACUAUAACGGUCCUACUGUAGCGAAAUUCCUUGCCGGGUCAGUCCCAACCCGCACGAAAGGCGUAACGAUUUGGGCAC